RNAcentral lists this microRNA (21 nucleotides) under Populus trichocarpa (black cottonwood). RNAcentral describes it as "ptc-miR156l". Its record names the gene ptc-miR156l. Lineage: Eukaryota; Viridiplantae; Streptophyta; Magnoliopsida; Malpighiales; Salicaceae. The record is from miRBase by way of RNAcentral.
UUGACAGAAGAUGGAGAGCAC